Molecule: small nuclear RNA, 109 nt
Organism: Hyla sarda
Lineage: Eukaryota; Metazoa; Chordata; Amphibia; Anura; Hylidae
Source: RefSeq, a predicted model, not a curated record
GCUUGCUUCGGCAGCUUAUAUACUUAAACAAAUUGGAAGGAUACAGAGAAGAUUAGCAUAGCCCCUGCGCAAGGAUGAAAUGCUAAUUUGUGAAGCCAUGUUAAAAAAA